This 165-nucleotide ribosomal RNA is filed under the name uncultured bacterium. Its description in RNAcentral is "partial 16S ribosomal RNA". It matches the Rfam family "Bacterial small subunit ribosomal RNA", at positions 509 to 674 of the family's 1533-position model. The record is from RNAcentral.
CAGCAGCCGCGGUAAACGUAGGAUCCGAGCGUUAUCCGAAUUCACUGGGCGUAAAGCGCGAGUAGGCGGUUCGGUAAGUUGGAUGUGAAAGCUCCCGGCUCAACUGGGAGAGGACGUUCAAAACUGUUGGACUAGAGGGCGGAAGAGGGAAGUGGAAUUCCCGGU